RNAcentral lists this ribosomal RNA (977 nucleotides) under Atheniella flavida. RNAcentral describes it as "Atheniella sp. QN-2021a partial large subunit ribosomal RNA". It matches the Rfam family "Eukaryotic large subunit ribosomal RNA", at positions 53 to 1015 of the family's 3401-position model. Lineage: Eukaryota; Fungi; Basidiomycota; Agaricomycetes; Agaricales; Mycenaceae. The record is from RNAcentral.
CUGGUAGACUAACAGGAUUCCCCUAGUAACUGCGAGUGAAGCGGGAAAAGCUCAAAUUUAAAAUCUGGCGGUUCUUGCAGUCGUCCGAAUUGUAAUUUAGAGAAGUGUUAUCCGCGCUGGACCGUAUACAAGUCUCCUGGAAUGGAGCGUCAUAGAGGGUGAGAAUCCCGUCUUUGAUACGGACUGCCAGGGCUUUGUGAUGCGCUCUCGAAGAGUCGAGUUGUUUGGGAAUGCAGCUCAAAAUGGGUGGUAAAUUCCAUCUAAAGCUAAAUAUUGGCGAGAGACCGAUAGCGAACAAGUACCGUGAGGGAAAGAUGAAAAGAACUUUGGAAAGAGAGUUAAACAGUACGUGAAAUUGCUAAAAGGGAAACGCUUGAAGUCAGUCGCGUUGAUUGAGGAUCAUCCUUGCUUUUUGCUUGGUGUACUUCUCAGUUGAUGGGUCAACAUCAAUUUUGACUGUUGGAUAAAGUUCAUUGGAAUGUGGCAUCUUUAGAUGUGUUAUAGCCUUUGUUCGUAUACAGCAGUUGGGAUUGAGGAACUCAGCACGCCGCAAGGCCGGGUAUUUAUACCACGUACGUGCUUAGGAUGUUGGCAUAAUGGCUUUAAUCGACCCGUCUUGAAACACGGACCAAGGAGUCUAACAUGCCUGCGAGUGUUUGGGUGGAAAACCCGAGCGCGUAAUGAAAGUGAAAGUUGAGAUCUCUGUCAUGGAGAGCAUCGACGCCCAGACUUGAGCUUUUGCGACGGUCCUGCGGUAGAGCAUGUAUGUUGGGACCCGAAAGAUGGUGAACUAUGCCUGAAUAGGGUGAAGCCAGAGGAAACUCUGGUGGAGGCUCGUAGCGAUUCUGACGUGCAAAUCGAUCGUCGAAUUUGGGGUAUAGGGGCGAAAGACUAAUCGAACCAUCUAGUAGCUGGUUCCCGCCGAAGUUUCCCUCAGAUAGCAGAAACUCACUGAUCAGAUUUUAUGUGGUAAAGCG